AUGCUGGCUUUGGGAGCACUUAUACUCAAAUUGGAAUCAUACAGAGAAGUGUAUCAUGGCCCCUAUGCAAAGAUACAUGAAGUAGUCUGUAUUUAA
RNAcentral lists this small nuclear RNA (96 nucleotides) under Sus scrofa (pig). The record is from RNAcentral. Lineage: Eukaryota; Metazoa; Chordata; Mammalia; Artiodactyla; Suidae.